RNAcentral lists this non-coding RNA (108 nucleotides) under uncultured Beduini sp. RNAcentral describes it as "FMN riboswitch (RFN element)". It matches the Rfam family "FMN riboswitch aptamer (RFN element)", at positions 8 to 131 of the family's 138-position model. Rfam says of the family: The RFN element is a highly conserved domain that is found frequently in the 5'-untranslated regions of prokaryotic mRNAs that encode for flavin mononucleotide (FMN) biosynthesis and transport proteins. This element is a metabolite-dependent riboswitch that directly binds FMN in the absence of proteins. The record is from RNAcentral. Lineage: Bacteria; Bacillati; Bacillota; Erysipelotrichia; Erysipelotrichales; Erysipelotrichaceae.
GGUCUUCAGGGCAGGGUGAAAUUCCCGACCGGCGGUAAAGUCCGCGAGCCAUAUUGGCAUGAAUUGGUGUAAUUCCAAUACCGAUAGUAUAGUCUAGAUGGAAGAAUG